CCUACGGGCGGCUGCAGUAGGGAAUCUUCCACAAUGGGCGCAAGCCUGAUGGAGCAACACCGCGUGAGUGAAGAAGGGUUUCGGCUCGUAAAGCUCUGUUGUUAAAGAAGAACACGUGUGAGAGUAACUGUUCAUACGUUGACGGUAUUUAACCAGAAAGUCACGGCUAACUACGUGCCAGCAGCCGCGGUAAUACGUAGGUGGCAAGCGUUAUCCGGAUUUAUUGGGCGUAAAGAGAGUGCAGGCGGUUUUCUAAGUCUGAUGUGAAAGCCUUCGGCUUAACCGGAGAAGUGCAUCGGAAACUGGAUAACUUGAGUGCAGAAGAGGGUAGUGGAACUCCAUGUGUAGCGGUGGAAUGCGUAGAUAUAUGGAAGAACACCAGUGGCGAAGGCGGCUACCUGGUCUGCAACUGACGCUGAGACUCGAAAGCAUGGGUAGCGAACAGGAUUAGAUACCCUAGUAGUC
RNAcentral lists this ribosomal RNA (465 nucleotides) under uncultured bacterium. RNAcentral describes it as "bacterial SSU rRNA". It matches the Rfam family "Bacterial small subunit ribosomal RNA", at positions 338 to 795 of the family's 1533-position model. The record is from RNAcentral.